GAUGAACGCUGGCGGCGUGCCUAAUACAUGCAAGUCGAGCGAACAGACGAGGAGCUUGCUCCUCUGACGUUAGCGGCGGACGGGUGAGUAACACGUGGAUAACCUACCUAUAAGACUGGGAUAACUUCGGGAAACCGGAGCUAAUACCGGAUAAUAUAUUGAACCGCAUGGUUCAAUAGUGAAAGACGGUUUUGCUGUCACUUAUAGAUGGAUCCGCGCCGCAUUAGCUAGUUGGUAAGGUAACGGCCUACCAAGGCAACCAUGCGUAGCCGAACGGAGAGGCGGAUAGCCCACAUGGGAGGGGGAACAGGGACCAGAGUCCUACGGGAGGCAGCAGUAGGGAAUCUGCCGCAAUGGGCGAAAGCCUGACGGAGCAACGCCGCGUGAGUGAUGAAGGUCUUCGGAUCGUAAAACUCUGUUAUUAGGGAAGAACAAAUGUCGAAGUAACUGUGCACGUCUUGACGGUACCGGAUCAGAAAGCCACGGCUAACUACGUG
Molecule: ribosomal RNA, 497 nt
Filed under: uncultured bacterium
Lineage: Bacteria
Description: partial 16S ribosomal RNA
Rfam family: Bacterial small subunit ribosomal RNA
Source: RNAcentral